Molecule: long non-coding RNA, 739 nt
Filed under: Phasianus colchicus (ring-necked pheasant)
Lineage: Eukaryota; Metazoa; Chordata; Aves; Galliformes; Phasianidae
Description: lncRNA (ENSPCLG00000005818.1)
Source: RNAcentral
UUUUAUUCUGUUGAAGGUGGUGACCAUUUUGUGGUAGAUUCAAUUGCUGUGUGCUCCAGAUCUACACUGAUAUGUGCCUUCGUAAAACAUUUAGCAUAUGCUUCAAAAUCCUUUGCUGAGCAAAUUUUCCUUAGUCUUGGGAAUAGAAAGACAGCUGUGCAGCUGGGCAGGUGGACAGCAGCACUGAGACUGAAGGGAUGCAGUGUCUUUCUCUGCCUCAGAGCAUCAGGACAGGUCCACUCUCUGACUCAGAUCAUAUUUCCAUGGAUGUGGGUAAGAAAUGAGAUUAUUCUGUUUCUCAGUCUUUCCAGUCCUGAAGUCUUUGUCUAUAGCACAUGAGUCUACUUCAUGGAAGUAAUAAUUUAACGUUUUUCCUCAUAGCAUUUUGAUCCACUCAGGCUGGAGUCUAUACAGCAACAAAAAGUUGAAUGUGUCUCAUGUCUGCAAAUGUAGAUGUAUGGAGAUAGUAACACCAUUUCUUCUUAGACUUAAGUUCUUUUUUUUGUAAUGUGUGCUGCUGUGAGAGCUGUGUUCAAAGUGCAGAUGAGUUUCACCCAUGCUGCCAAGGUGGCUUUAUCCUCAGCUCCCUUUGAAUUACAUGCUUGUCACUCUGAUAAUAAUUUUCUGACCUCUGAAUCACUACAUUAAGGCAACUCUGUCUGCUUGGACUCCUUUAAUGUUAAUAUCAUCUAUAUUUAGCUUCUACUAUAAACCUAAAUAAAGUAAGAUAUAACAAUCA